This 207-nucleotide ribosomal RNA is filed under the name uncultured bacterium. Its description in RNAcentral is "partial 16S ribosomal RNA". It matches the Rfam family "Bacterial small subunit ribosomal RNA", at positions 568 to 774 of the family's 1533-position model. The record is from RNAcentral.
UGCGCAGGCGGCCUGCUAAGUCAGGGGUGAAAUAUGACGGCUCAACCGUCAAACUGCCCCUGAAACUGGCUGGCUUGAGUCCGGGAGAGGAAGGUGGAAUUCCAGGUGUAGCGGUGAAAUGCGUAAAUAUCUGGAGGAACACCAGUGGCGAGGGCGGCCUUCUGGCCCGGAACUGACGCUCAGGCACGAAAGCAUGGGGAGCGAACG